GGCGCAAUGGCAGAAUGGUUAUGCAGCGGACUGCAAAUCCGUAAAUGUCGGUUCGAUCCCGGCUUGCGCCUCCA
This 74-nucleotide transfer RNA is filed under the name Bordetella sp. RNAcentral's name for it is "tRNA-Cys". It matches the Rfam family "tRNA". Rfam says of the family: Transfer RNA (tRNA) molecules are approximately 80 nucleotides in length. Their secondary structure includes four short double-helical elements and three loops (D, anti-codon, and T loops). Lineage: Bacteria; Pseudomonadati; Pseudomonadota; Betaproteobacteria; Burkholderiales; Alcaligenaceae. The record is from RNAcentral.